Molecule: transfer RNA, 84 nt
Filed under: Patescibacteria group bacterium
Lineage: Bacteria
Description: tRNA-Leu
Rfam family: tRNA
About the family: Transfer RNA (tRNA) molecules are approximately 80 nucleotides in length. Their secondary structure includes four short double-helical elements and three loops (D, anti-codon, and T loops). Further hydrogen bonds mediate the characteristic L-shaped molecular structure. tRNAs have two regions of fundamental functional importance: the anti-codon, which is responsible for specific mRNA codon recognition, and the 3' end, to which the tRNAs corresponding amino acid is attached (by aminoacyl-tRNA synthetases). tRNAs cope with the degeneracy of the genetic code in two manners: having more than one tRNA (with a specific anti-codon) for a particular amino acid; and 'wobble' base-pairing, i.e. permitting non-standard base-pairing at the 3rd anti-codon position.
Source: RNAcentral
GGGCGAGUGCCGGAAUCGGUAGACGGGCGCGGCUCAAAACCGCGUGGCCGCAAGGUCGUGAGGGUUCGAGUCCCUCCUCGCCCA